UACGUAGGGUGCGAGCGUUGUCCGGAAUUAUUGGGCGUAAAGGGCUCGUAGGCGGUCUGUUGCGUCGGGAGUGAAAACUCAGGGCUUAACCCUGAGCCUGCUUCCGAUACGGGCAGACUAGAGGUAUUCAGGGGAGAACGGAAUUCCUGGUGUAGCGGUGAAAUGCGCAGAUAUCAGGAGGAACACCGGUGGCGAAGGCGGUUCUCUGGGAAUAUCCUGACGCUGAGGAGCGAAAGUGUGGGGAGCGAACAGG
Molecule: ribosomal RNA, 253 nt
Filed under: uncultured bacterium
Lineage: Bacteria
Description: partial 16S ribosomal RNA
Rfam family: Bacterial small subunit ribosomal RNA
Source: RNAcentral